GCUGCGCAAAUAACUCAAUUAGUCUUGUGCAGACGCCCGCCCGUGGCGCUUAUCAACUGGCAGCACGUUACGCGAGUGUCGAGUGUUGUGUUGUGUGGGGGAGUGCUAAGGGGGUGGGAGUGAAGUGCAUUUCGCUUGGCGUUAACUUCGUUUCAUUUGCUGCUGCUUCUUCGGUAAAAGUUAUUUGGAGCAAAGCGCGUUGAUGAAGAAGUCCAUAAAGGUGCGAAGCAAAGCCCGGCGGCUUGGACCUGCAGCUGCUCACACUUUUUGCCUGCCCUCUCUGCUCCAAUCUCGUUCGUUCGCUCUCGCUCUGCUUGAGUGCAUGGCAACGGCAAGAAGCAACAACAAAGAGCAAACUUGAUGCUAGAGGGCGCCAUAGCAAAUGGCAAAUAAAUAAAAGCAGCCAGCAACAACAACAACAAGGACAGAGACCUGCUGCUGCUGCUGCUUCUGCUGCGCUGCUACUGCCAAGCACUUUCAAUAACCUUUCAAAAUUCUGGUUCAAAGGAAAGCGAUUCAAUCAAAAUUAUGCAUUUCAUUCACAGAGUAAAUCAGGCGAAAGCAGUGUGCAGCUGCUUUUGCUGCUUGCUGCUGUUGCACACACAACAAUGUCCAGGCACUUGCCAGCAAAAUGCAACAACGAAAAAACAGCAAGCAAGGAAGGAAGAGCGGGAGAAAAGGAAAGCCACACACACAACGACAACAAUACUUGUUACUCAUUCAGAGAGAAGAGAGAAGAAAGAAGUAGCAAUUGAAAGAGAAAGAGAAAGAAAGAAAGAGACUUGAAGGAAAGGAGAAAGUACUAUGGAUAGCGUAAAGGAAACUGAUAAAAAGGAAAUAAUAUGGAAUAGAAUGCAGUGAUAACGUAAACAACCGCAAUUGCUUUUGAAUCCAGUGAAAAUUUAACUUUCAUCUCGUUACUGACGUUUUUGUCGCCUGUCUGCCUGGCAGGCAUUGCAUUGCGUACAACAAAUAUUUUUCAACAACUUCUCAAUGGCAGCAAAUGCGCACAGGAGAGAAAGAGGCAAAGAAGAGAGGAGAAGAGAAAGAGAUUGGGAGAAGGAAGAGUCAUCUAAAGAUGCUGAUGGCGAUGAGGAUAGACGGACGAAGGAGAAAGGCGAAAGGCGAAGACGAGACUGCAGACUGAGUUGCAUUGCUUGCGGCGUGGCAGUUUCUGUUGCUGUUGCUGUUGCUGUUGCCAGUCGCUGGUGUCGCUACUUGCUUUACGUGUCGGUGGCAUGCAACAAAAUUGAGGUGCAGCAACACGAGGAAUCACGGCAAAAAGACACAGAAAAGAUGCAGAAGUUGAUGGAGCGGCUGCUUGGGGUGGCUUCAAGUUUGUUUAGCAAAUUCUGUAAAUGUUAUGCGGCAGAAGAAGCAGCAACAACAAUGUUGAUGGGGAAAUCGCAGUUGCAAAUUAAGAGAAAAGCGGCUGAGUAAAUCACAGUAACUGCAUUUUGUUUGGCUGCUAGUUUGUUGCUUAACUCGUUGCGGUUGCGGUUGGCCUUGAUUUAUUUGGCCCACGCGCCAAACGCAUGUUAACAAGAACCAGCAACAGCAACUGUUGUCACAUGUCGUUUUCUAUUUUUUGUAACUUUCAGGUGAACUCAAUAAUAUGGAUGAAUCCAAUAAAAUGGAUAAUGACAUUUCGAAGAGCAAUUUGGAUAACUUUUACCAACAGGUAUCCAGCAAAGUUCAUCUUUACAAACUCAAAGCAAUAAGUCCUUUAAAAAAGCCCAAAAAUAUGGCUGGGAUAGAAAUUUCGCUAAUUAAUAUCCUAAUUUUAAGCAAUUUUCUGUACACAAAAUUUCCUUGUAACUUUAUUGUUUGCAAUAUAUUCUUUU
This is a long non-coding RNA of Drosophila albomicans, 1844 nucleotides long. RefSeq lists it as uncharacterized. Lineage: Eukaryota; Metazoa; Arthropoda; Insecta; Diptera; Drosophilidae. The transcript is spliced from 5 exons. The record is from RefSeq and is a predicted model, not a curated record.